CAAACGCGAUAUCUAAUAUGAAUUGCAGGCUUCUGUGAAUCAUCGAACCUUUGAACGUACUGCGCCCGGAUUAACCUCUGGGCACAUUCGGUUGAGUGACAACUUUUAUCGUGGAUCCGCUCCGCAACAGUUUACUGGGCGCGGGUAGAACCGAUUUCAGCGAGCUUGAUUAACAAUCAAUCCGCUCAGAUACGGCAAAAUUCGCUUGUGCUUUGCGCGCCUUGGAACCCGAUUGAUAAUAACAUUGAUUAGGUGUGAAAGGGCUUUGUGCGGGGCGCAGGAAAAACAAAGGGCUUUGCUUGUUAUUGUUAACCUUGCUUUAGCAGGGGAACCCCAUAUUUAUAUACAAGUUGUAUCUGUCCUCAACUCGAGUGAGACUACCCGCUGAACUUAA
Molecule: unclassified non-coding RNA, 394 nt
Filed under: uncultured fungus
Lineage: Eukaryota; Fungi
Description: sequence contains ITS1
Rfam family: 5.8S ribosomal RNA (bases 1-101)
Source: RNAcentral